UUUCCUAUUUGACUGCCAAAUUUUUUCCUUGUAGUAGAUUUAAGUGGCUAUGCUUAUGGGAUAUAGUAAAAUUGCCAUGAUUUGAACUGAAGAGGAUAUCAUUGUGUCCUCUUCCUAUAUGAAAUGACUCAACAGAAUAAA
Molecule: small nucleolar RNA, 141 nt
Organism: Suncus etruscus (white-toothed pygmy shrew)
Lineage: Eukaryota; Metazoa; Chordata; Mammalia; Eulipotyphla; Soricidae
Product: small nucleolar RNA SNORA29
Exons: 1
Source: RefSeq, a predicted model, not a curated record